GACGAACGCUGGCGGCGCGCUUAACACAUGCAAGUCGAACGGAAAGGCCUGCUUUCCCUUGUGGAUUGCGGGUACUCGAGUGGCGAACGGGUGAGUAACACGUGAGUGAUCUGCCCCCAACUUGGGUAUAAGCCUGGGAAACUGGGUCUAAUUCCCGAUAGGACUGCAGGGUGGUGCCUGUGGUGGAAAACGAUUUUCUAGUGGUUGGGGAUGAGCUCGCGGCCUAUCAGCUUGUUGGUGGGGUAAUGGCCUACCAAGGCGGCGACGGGUAGCCGGCCUGAGAGGGUGGACGGCGACAGUGGGACUGAGAGACGGCCCAGACUCCUACGGGAGGCAGCAGUGGGGAAUAUUGGACGAUGGGCGGAAGCCUGAUGCAGCGACGCCGCGUGGGGGAUGACGGCCUUCGGGUUGUAAACUCCUUUCGGCCGCGAGGAAGCCACCUGGUUGGAAGGGUGGUGACGGUAGUGGUAGAAGAAGCACCGGCUAACUACGUG
This 494-nucleotide ribosomal RNA is filed under the name uncultured bacterium. RNAcentral describes it as "partial 16S ribosomal RNA". It matches the Rfam family "Bacterial small subunit ribosomal RNA", at positions 28 to 507 of the family's 1533-position model. The record is from RNAcentral.